This 723-nucleotide ribosomal RNA is filed under the name Triticum aestivum (bread wheat). RNAcentral describes it as "partial small subunit ribosomal RNA". Lineage: Eukaryota; Viridiplantae; Streptophyta; Magnoliopsida; Poales; Poaceae. The record is from RNAcentral.
GAUCCCGAUCUGGAGAACUUCUUCGACUAACUAGAUCUCAACAAGGAAGAAUUUGAGGAUGUGGAUAUCGAUGAAGAGGACCCGGAGAUCAAGGAAAGCGUCCGUUGGUUAGACCUUGCUAGGGUUCAUACCGACAAAACUUUCUCUCCGUCGGCCUUCUACAAGAAGAUGAGGACGGCUUGGAACCUGGCGCAAGGCGUUAGAUUCCGGCCGGUCGGGCCAAACAGGUUCGUCGUCCAGGCAUCUUGCUUAGGGGACUGGGAGCGGAUCAUGAAACAACGGCAUUGGCUAUUCCGCAACAUGGCGGUGCUACUUUGCGUGUAUGAUGGAUUCAGCAGGGCUGAAGACGUGGUGUUUGAUCACAUGCCAAUAUGGCUUCGGAUUCACAAGCUCCCCGACCCGUAUUGCAAGGAACACAUUGUUGAGAAGCUGUUGAAGGGUGCGGGGGAGAUAAUGGAGAUGAGGUUCAAUGGGAAUACGGGUGAUUAUGUGAGGAUUAGGGUGAAUCACAACAUUAAGCAUCCCCUUACUAAGUUUGUCAGUAUUGUGCGAGCAAAAGAAUGUCAAGUGUACCUUGUUUGUUAUGAGAAACUCGCUCGAUUUUGCAAGGUGUGUGGGCUGAUUGUCCAUGAUCAUAAGGAGUGUGGCUUGGGCAUACAUGAAAAGAAAGAUAUGAAGUUUGGGGACUGGAUGUAUGCGGAGGGGCCGUCCUGGCCUGGGUAG